UCUUGCGCCAUAUGUACUGAGAUUGUUCGGGAGACAUGGUAAAAGCACGG
RNAcentral lists this ribosomal RNA (50 nucleotides) under Corchorus olitorius. Lineage: Eukaryota; Viridiplantae; Streptophyta; Magnoliopsida; Malvales; Malvaceae. The record is from RNAcentral.